GUCUUAUUGAUAAUUAUUUUAAGUCUAAUCUGCCCACUGAAAAUUUAAAUGGCCGCGGUAUUUUGACCGUGCAAAGGUAGCAUAAUCAUUAGUUUUUUAAUUGAAAGCUGGAAUGAAGGAUUGAAUGAAAAAAUAACUGUCUCUUUAUUAAUAUUUGAAAUUUAUUUUUAAGUUAAAAAGCUUAAAUUUUAUUAAAAGACGAGAAGACCCUAUAGAGUUUUAUUUAAUUUAAAUAUAUUAUAUUUGGUAUUAAUAAAUUUUUUGUUUAAAAAAAAUUAGAUUGGGGUGAUUAAAAAAUUUAAUAAACUUUUUUUUAUUAAGUUCAAUUAUUUUUGUAAAUUUGAUCCUUUUUAGAUUAUAAGAUUAAAUUACCUUAGGGAUAACAGCGUAAUUUUUUUUAAGAGUUCUUAUUGAAAAAAAAGUUUGCGACCUCGAUGUUGGAUUAAAAUUUAAGUUUGGUGUAGAAGCUAAAUAAUUAAGUCUGUUCGACUUUUAAAAUUUUACA
This 505-nucleotide ribosomal RNA is filed under the name Laemophloeus incisus. RNAcentral describes it as "partial 16S ribosomal RNA". The stretch from base 379 to 505 matches the Rfam family "Bacterial large subunit ribosomal RNA", at positions 2473 to 2600 of the family's 2925-position model. Lineage: Eukaryota; Metazoa; Arthropoda; Insecta; Coleoptera; Laemophloeidae. The record is from RNAcentral.